Molecule: ribosomal RNA, 850 nt
Filed under: uncultured bacterium
Lineage: Bacteria
Description: bacterial SSU rRNA
Rfam family: Bacterial small subunit ribosomal RNA
Source: RNAcentral
UGCUAUCUGCAGUCGAGCGACUGAUUAGAAGCUUGCUUCUAUGACGUUAGCGGCGGACGGGUGAGUAACACGUGGGCAACCUGCCUGUAAGACUGGGAUAACUUCGGGAAACCGAAGCUAAUACCGGAUAGGAUCUUCUCCUUCAUGGGAGAUGAUUGAAAGAUGGUUUCGGCUAUCACUUACAGAUGGGCCCGCGGUGCAUUAGCUAGUUGGUGAGGUAACGGCUCACCAAGGCAACGAUGCAUAGCCGACCUGAGAGGGUGAUCGGCCACACUGGGACUGAGACACGGCCCAGACUCCUACGGGAGGCAGCAGUAGGGAAUCUUCCGCAAUGGACGAAAGUCUGACGGAGCAACGCCGCGUGAGUGAUGAAGGCUUUCGGGUCGUAAAACUCUGUUGUUAGGGAAGAACAAGUACAAGAGUAACUGCUUGUACCUUGACGGUACCUAACCAGAAAGCCACGGCUAACUACGUGCCAGCAGCCGCGGUAAUACGUAGGUGGCAAGCGUUAUCCGGAAUUAUUGGGCGCAAAGCGCGCGCAGGCGGUUUCUUAAGUCUGAUGUGAAAGCCCACGGCUCAACCGUGGAGGGUCAUUGGAAACUGGGGAACUUGAGUGCAGAAGAGAAAAGCGGAAUUCCACGUGUAGCGGUGAAUGCGUAGAGAUGUGGAGGAACACCAGUGGCGAAGGCGGCUUUUGGUCUGUAACUGACGCUGAGGCGCGAAAGCGUGGGGAGCAAACAGGAUUAGAUACCCUGGUAGUCCACCCCGUAAACGAUGAGUGCUAAGUGUUAGAGGGUUUCCCCCCUUUAGUGCUGCAGCUAACGCAUUAAGCACUCCCCCUGGGGAGUAC